Long non-coding RNA from Mustela erminea (ermine), 2710 nucleotides. RefSeq lists it as uncharacterized. NCBI's taxonomy places the organism in Eukaryota, Metazoa, Chordata, Mammalia, Carnivora, Mustelidae. The transcript has 6 exons. The record is from RefSeq and is a predicted model, not a curated record.
UUCUGCAGCCGUGUCCAGAAGAGCCCGGGCCUAGUGGCUCCGAGGCUCCGCGACGCACGCCCCUUCUCGCGCUCCGCCCCGCGGUCACGGGCCCACGCCGACCUCUGCAGCCGCGCCGCCCACCGCUUCCUCACCCCGGGGCGUAAACCCGAAACCACCCGGUCCUGGGGCAUCGGCCUGCGUCCUGGCCGGUGGCCCGCCUCUCCGGAACAUUCAGGGACGGGCAGGGGGGUGGCGGCAGACCGAGCUGCGCUCCCGACGCGUUGCCGCCUGUAUUUGUUUCGUGACCUUGACCACGUCCCAGCCUUAACCUUCUCAAAGUUACAACUGGGAUAGUAAACCUUGCGGGAUUCGCCCGCUGGGCGGUGGAGUAAUAUAUUCCGGUGGGGAGGAAGGGGGCUUGGCGGAGAGACUGUCAACUAGUCUGUUUUCAGUCCUCCCCCCCAAUUUUGAGGUAAUUCAGGCCCUGGCCUGCGACCUCCUCCAGGAAGGGGGCUCAUGGGCGUUUAGGCUCCGCGGAGCCGGCCAUACUGCAGGCGAGUAGGUGCAGGCGGAGCGCCAGGUGGGGGCACAGGGCGCCCUUGGCAGCGUAGGCUGCACCGCCCCAUCCCGGCCCGAGGAGGAGCAGCCUCGCCCCGCACGUCCCGGAGGCUCGGGCCCAGCUUCGGCCCCGCGCCCGGUACUCGGCUCCGAGCUGACCCCGCCACCUCGCCGCCGCGGGCAGCGGCCGCGGAACUCCGUAGCCCCAGGCGGGAGCAGGAGCUGGGCGCCGGCCGACGCAACUUAGGCUGAGAGGGAAGUCGCGUACGUUGUGCGGAUCUGCGGGGCGCGACGAAGGCGACCCCGAGUCGCGCAGGAGACCUAGCCUCAGAGAAGGCACUGGCUUCUGAGUCUGUCAAACCUAAACGGAGAGGCUGUAAAGGAAGAAGUCUCCCAACCCUUCGCAAAAAUAUAAACCAUCUGGAAAAGAAAGCAUCUACUGGAUGGAAGGAGACAAUUGCAAAUGAAAGCAAUAGAAUUCAAAGGACUGAAGAAUCUGUGUGAUGCUACAGAUGAAAGCUCUAUCCAGAAAUUGAAGUAGAGGAGUAUGGCAACAUCGGAAGUUGUGUGUUAAAGCUGGUGGAGCCACAAUAUGGAAGGAGCCUAGGAUCCUGAGUCAGUGCCCAGAGCUUGUCCAAUUUCAGUUUUUCUUUUACUGAGGCCAUGGAUCCCUCCAUCCCCACCUUGACACUGGAAUUCUGCCUAAAAUGAAACAGCAACAGAACAGAGGUCAAGAACUUGGAAGGAUUCAUGUGGAAGAAACCAGAGCCGCAGUCACAUAGAUACAGGUAUAGGUCGGCAGACACAAACAGUUCCUGAAGCACUUUCCUCCACAACCUUAAGCGAUUCUCUCAACUACCUAUAAAGUCAGACAGGCUGGUGUUCUGGUGCCUCUCAUUUCUCCUCCAAGGAAACCAAGUCUCAGAGAGUUUAGCAUCCAGAAUUUGGAUCGAAUUUGAAGAAAAGGAAUCAUUUUCUCAACUGUGACAAUGCUUGAAACAACUUCUUGAACUCAUUUAGCUGCCGCUGCCACUGAUCCUAUUGUUUUGUUUUUUACAUCAUCAGAAUUUGAUCAAAGGGUUCACAAAAAUUAGAAAUACAGAGAGCAGAACACGCUGUGCGUCAGCUGCUGUAGAGAACAGAUGAAACAAACCCCAGGGUUUAUCGGGGGCCUGGGACUAACCCAGCCAGCAGCUUCCAAUAGAGCAGAGUCGCAAAUAAUUUCAAAUCCUUUUUUAUGAGCUUUUGUGAAAAUAAAUCUGGGUGCACACUAGAUCAACAAGCACUCUCCAAGAUGCAGGACAACCCAAAGAAGACCCUGUGAACUGGCUACAUCAAAUGCUGCUGCAUCAACAUUAGAUUGUAUAAUAAAUGUAAGUGACAAAAUAAGGAAUGAACUUUUUCAUGAGUUCUGAAAUGAUUCUACUUGUGUCAUUUUCUACCAUGAUUAUCAAGGAGUGUUGUCAUCUCAUUUGUGGAGGUUUUACAAGUGUUUUUUGUACUACUAAUGCCUGUUCUUUUUUUUUUUUUCUUUUGAAAACGGACAAUACAGAGAAGCAAUUAGAAACCAUCAAUGACCUUUGUCUCUAAGAAUGUAUAUUGCUAACUUUGAGAUAUUCUAUUCUGGUAUUUUUACUAUAGAUUGUCAUAUACAGUUAAUGUUAAACGUAAGUAUGUACUAUCUGAUAUAUAAAAAGCAUGUAAGCCAUGAGGUGUAAUAAUAAAGUGCAUCCCUGAAAAUAAACCAGGGACCAAAGAGUCAUUGCUAACUUGGCACUUUCCCCUGGAUUCCUCCCCUACUAUUUGCCUGCUUUGCUCCCUAGUCCCACACCUAAGGGUAACCUUUAUCCAGAGGUUCCCAUUUGGUGACAAUUUUCUCUCUGCAAUUUUGGACACAUUUUUGGUUUUCGAAAGAGGGGUGGGGUUUACAACCUGUGUCUAAUGAGUAGAGACCUGGGCUAUCGCUGAACAUCCAACAAGGCGUAGGUCAAUCACUGACAACUAGGUGUUACCACUUCCAAUGUCAAUGGGACUAACGUGGAGAAACCCUGUCUCUUCCUGUGUGUUGGAUUUAUCACGACCCUGCUUAAAAUGAUCUAAGUAAUUUGUCAUUUAAUUUUGCUGGUUUGGGGGGCACCUGGGUGGCUCAGUCAGUUAAGUGUCUGCCUUU